Non-coding RNA from Podarcis muralis (Common wall lizard), 708 nucleotides. Lineage: Eukaryota; Metazoa; Chordata; Lepidosauria; Squamata; Lacertidae. The record is from RefSeq and is a predicted model, not a curated record.
CUCCAGGGCGAGAACGCAGCCUCGCAGGCGGCGAAGGAAGUUUCCUCUCCGCUCCCGCACACCGGUAGUAAGCAGUGGUGCGGGUGCGUGCCUUGGUGUGUGCGCGCCCUGCCUCCCUGCCGAGCGAAAGGACUCGCCUCCGAGGCCACUUUUGCGCCUGGUGAAGGCAAGGGAGUGGCGGCGGCGGCGGCGGCCCUGCUCUCCCUCUCCCUCUCCGUCUCCUCGGCCCUCCCAGUCCCUCCUCUCUCUGGGUAGCUUUGCGGAGAGGAGGAGGAGAGUGAGCUGUGGGAGGGUCCCCAUUGAAAUAAACAAGCAGCCAGUGAUUAAAACGGGAACAUGGCGGCCGCGGAGGACUCAGCAGCUCCAGCUUCCUCUUACAAAGCGAAGGUCAGCGCUGGCAGCAGCCUGGGCGACGGCAGCCGGAGACAUUGCUGACCUCGCAUGCUUGAGAUGUAUCUGAAUAUUGAACCUUUCAGACACAUAACCUGUGCUAUUGAUUUGACUGCCUCAUUGAGUCUUGAUUUCCUAACCCCGGGAAAAGAGAGAGAGGUCAUGCAGAUCUGUGUUUGCUUUUGACUUGAACAUUUUUCUUUUUCUUUCGUAAGUGGAGUGGUUUAAUAUUCAUGCUUUUUCCUCCAAAAACUAAAACAAGUGGCACACAAUUUAUUCCCAGAGGUGAGUUUAAACCUGUUUGUUACCUUUUUGUUC